Nothobranchius furzeri (turquoise killifish) is the source of this 214-nucleotide non-coding RNA. Lineage: Eukaryota; Metazoa; Chordata; Actinopteri; Cyprinodontiformes; Nothobranchiidae. The record is from RefSeq and is a predicted model, not a curated record.
AAAAGGGUGAGGACAGGGAGGGAUGUCCUCAUUGUAGAGGAAGAACUUGGCUUUCUGCCCAUCUUGUCUCCUUCUGUUCCAUGAAAAGGAACUCCCGUAGCUGCAGAUGAUUCUGUCUGCUGGGUUUCACCACCGCCUCCAUGUUCCUUACAGGUAGAGUCCUGCAUCACAUCGUCUCACAGGACUUUCCCUUCAAACCCAACUGACUUCUCUU